AGUCGUAAACUAUGUAAGUCGCUCUGGAUAAGAGCGUCUGCUAAAUAACGUAAA
Salmo salar (Atlantic salmon) is the source of this 54-nucleotide non-coding RNA. The record is from Rfam. NCBI's taxonomy places the organism in Eukaryota, Metazoa, Chordata, Actinopteri, Salmoniformes, Salmonidae.